GCCAGACUCCUACGGGAGGCAGCAGUGGGGAAUAUUGCACAAUGGGCGCAAGCCUGAUGCAGCCAUGCCGCGUGUGUGAAGAAGGCCUUCGGGUUGUAAAGCACUUUCAGCGGGGAGGAAGGCAAUAAGGUUAAUAACCUUGUUGAUUGACGUUACCCGCAGAAGAAGCACCGGCUAACUCCGUGCCAGCAGCCGCGGUAAUACGGAGGGUGCAAGCGCUAAUCGGAAUUACUGGGUGUAAAGCGCACGCAGGCGGUCUGGCAAGUCGGAUGUGAAAUCCCCGGGCUCAACCUGGGAACUGCAUUCGAAACUGGCAGGCUAGAGUCUUGUAGAGGGGGGUAGAAUUCCAGGUGUAGCGGUGAAAUGCGUAGAGAUCUGGAGGAAUACCGGUGGCGAAGGCGGCCCCCUGGACAAAGACUGACGCUCAGGUGCGAAAGCGUGGGGAGCAAACAGGAUUAGAUACCCCGGUAC
RNAcentral lists this ribosomal RNA (471 nucleotides) under uncultured bacterium. RNAcentral describes it as "bacterial SSU rRNA". It matches the Rfam family "Bacterial small subunit ribosomal RNA", at positions 330 to 793 of the family's 1533-position model. The record is from RNAcentral.